AGCGGCGGACGGGUGAGUAAUGUCUGGGGAUCUGCCUGAUGGAGGGGGAUAACUACUGGAAACGGUAGCUAAUACCGCAUAACGUCGCAAGACCAAAGAGGGGGACCUUCGGGCCUCUUGCCAUCAGAUGAACCCAGAUGGGAUUAGCUAGUAGGUGGGGUAAUGGCUCACCUAGGCGACGAUCCCUAGCUGGUCUGAGAGGAUGACCAGCCACACUGGAACUGAGACACGGUCCAGACUCCUACGGGAGGCAGCAGUGGGGAAUAUUGCACAAUGGGCGCAAGCCUGAUGCAGCCAUGCCGCGUGUAUGAAGAAGGCCUUCGGGUUGUAAAGUACUUUCAGCGAGGAGGAAGGCAUUAAGGUUAAUAACCUUAGUGAUUGACGUUACUCGCAGAAGAAGCACCGGCUAAACUCCGUGCCAGCAGCCGCGGUAAUACGGAGGGUUGCAAGCCGUUAAUCGGAAUUACUGGGCGUUAAACGCACGC
RNAcentral lists this ribosomal RNA (485 nucleotides) under uncultured Gammaproteobacteria bacterium. RNAcentral's name for it is "bacterial SSU rRNA". It matches the Rfam family "Bacterial small subunit ribosomal RNA", at positions 94 to 572 of the family's 1533-position model. Lineage: Bacteria; Pseudomonadati; Pseudomonadota; Gammaproteobacteria. The record is from RNAcentral.